This 445-nucleotide ribosomal RNA is filed under the name uncultured bacterium. RNAcentral's name for it is "bacterial SSU rRNA". It matches the Rfam family "Bacterial small subunit ribosomal RNA", at positions 331 to 793 of the family's 1533-position model. The record is from RNAcentral.
CCAGACUCCUACGGGAGGCAGCAGUGGGGAAUAUUGCACAAUGGGGGAAACCCUGAUGCAGCGACGCCGCGUGAGUGAAGAAGUAUUUCGGUAUGUAAAGCUCUAUCAGCGGGGAAGAAAAUGACGGUACCUGACUAAGAAGCCCCGGCUAACUACGUGCCAGCAGCCGCGGUAAUACGUAGGGGGCAAGCGUUAUCCGGAUUUACUGGGUGUAAAGGGAGCGUAGACGGCAUGGCAAGUCAGAUGUGAAAGCCCGGGGCUCAACCCCGGGACUGCAUUUGAAACUGUCAGGCUGGAGUGCAGGAGAGGUAAGUGGAAUUCCUAGUGUAGCGGUGAAAUGCGUAGAUAUUAGGAGGAACACCAGUGGCGAAGGCGGCCUGCUGGACGACAACUGACGGUGAGGCGCGAAAGCGUGGGGAGCAAACAGGAUUAGAUACCCUUGUAG